AUGCAGUCGAGCGAACAGAUGAGAAGCUUGCUUCUCUGAUGUUAGCGGCGGACGGGUGAGUAACACGUGGGUAACCUACCUAUAAGACUGGGAUAACUCCGGGAAACCGGGGCUAAUACCGGAUAAUAUUUUGAACCGCAUGGUUCAAUAGUGAAAGACGGUUUCGGCUGUCACUUAUAGAUGGACCCGCGCCGUAUUAGCUAGUUGGUAAGGUAACGGCUUACCAAGGCGACGAUACGUAGCCGACCUGAGAGGGUGAUCGGCCACACUGGAACUGAGACACGGUCCAGACUCCUACGGGAGGCAGCAGUAGGGAAUCUUCCGCAAUGGGCGAAAGCCUGACGGAGCAACGCCGCGUGAGUGAUGAAGGUCUUCGGAUCGUAAAACUCUGUUGUUAGGGAAGAACAAAUUUGUUAGUAACUGAACAAGUCUUGACGGUACCUAACCAGAAAGCCACGGCUAACUACGUGCCAGCAGCCGCGGUAAUACGUAGGUGGCAAGCGUUAUCCGGAAUUAUUGGGCGUAAAGCGCGCGUAGGCGGUUUCUUAAGUCUGAUGUGAAAGCCCACGGCUCAACCGUGGAGGGUCAUUGGAAACUGGGAAACUUGAGUGCAGAAGAGGAGAGUGGAAUUCCAUGUGUAGCGGUGAAAUGCGCAGAGAUAUGGAGGAACACCAGUGGCGAAGGCGGCUCUCUGGUCUGUAACUGACGCUGAUGUGCGAAAGCGUGGGGAUCAAACAGGAUUAGAUACCCUGGUAGUCCACGCCGUAAACGAUGAGUGCUAAGUGUUAGGGGGUUUCCGCCCCUUAGUGCUGCAGCUAACGCAUUAAGCACUCCGCCUGGGGAGUACGACCGCAAGGUUGAAACUCAAAGGAAUUGACGGGGACCCGCACAAGCGGUGGAGCAUGUGGUUUAAUUCGAAGCAACGCGAAGAACCUUACCAAAUCUUGACAUCCUUUGACCGCUCUAGAGAUAGAGUCUUCCCCUUCGGGGGACAAAGUGACAGGUGGUGCAUGGUUGUCGUCAGCUCGUGUCGUGAGAUGUUGGGUUAAGUCCCGCAACGAGCGCAACCCUUAAGCUUAGUUGCCAUCAUUAAGUUGGGCACUCUAGGUUGACUGCCGGUGACAAACCGGAGGAAGGUGGGGAUGACGUCAAAUCAUCAUGCCCCUUAUGAUUUGGGCUACACACGUGCUACAAUGGAUAAUACAAAGGGCAGCGAAUCCGCGAGGCCAAGCAAAUCCCAUAAAAUUAUUCUCAGUUCGGAUUGUAGUCUGCAACUCGACUACAUGAAGCUGGAAUCGCUAGUAAUCGUAGAUCAGCAUGCUACGGUGAAUACGUUCCCGGGUCUUGUACACACCGCCCGUCACACCACGAGAGUUUGUAACACCCGAAGCCGGUGGAGUAACCUUUUAGGAGCUAGCCGUCG
RNAcentral lists this ribosomal RNA (1423 nucleotides) under Mammaliicoccus sciuri. RNAcentral's name for it is "bacterial SSU rRNA". It matches the Rfam family "Bacterial small subunit ribosomal RNA". Lineage: Bacteria; Bacillati; Bacillota; Bacilli; Caryophanales; Staphylococcaceae. The record is from RNAcentral.